This is a long non-coding RNA of Aedes aegypti (yellow fever mosquito), 212 nucleotides long. RefSeq lists it as uncharacterized. The transcript has 2 exons. The record is from RefSeq and is a predicted model, not a curated record. NCBI's taxonomy places the organism in Eukaryota, Metazoa, Arthropoda, Insecta, Diptera, Culicidae.
AGAUACGACGAGCUGUUCGACACUAUCCAAAAUUGGAGGGAGCGUAACAGAUUGUUUGUCGUGAAACCAACGUCGCUGGUUGAGGGAAACGCAUGCAAACAUGAAGUGAUUGAAAUUGUAUAGGAAGAAGUUUGCCGGAACAUUCGUAAGUAUACGCACGUAUACGUAGAGCACAAUUGUGGCCCUUUUAACAAAUGUAAUUAGAAUAAGAA